GAUGAACGCUGGCGGCGUGCCUAAUACAUGCAAGUCGAGCGAACAGACGAGGAGCUUGCUCCUCUGACGUUAGCGGCGGACGGGUGAGUAACACGUGGAUAACCUACCUAUAAGACUGGGAUAACUUCGGGAAACCGGAGCUAAUACCGGAUAAUAUAUUGAACCGCAUGGUUCAAUAGUGAAAUACGGUUUUGCUGUCACUUAUAGAUGGAUCCGCGCCGCAUUAGCUAGUUGGUAAGGUAACGGCUUACCAAGGCAACGAUGCGUAGCCGACCUGAGAGGGUGAUCGGCAACACUGGAACUGAGACACGGUCCAGACUCCUACGGGAGGCAGCAGUAGGGAAUCUUCCGCAAUGGGCGAAAGCCUGACGGAGCAACGCCGCGUGAGUGAUGAAGGUCUUCGGAUCGUAAAACUCUGUUAUUAGGGAAGAACAAAUGUGUAAGUAACUAUGCACGUCUUGACGGUACCUAAUCAGAAAGCCACGGCUAACUACGUG
This 497-nucleotide ribosomal RNA is filed under the name uncultured bacterium. RNAcentral's name for it is "partial 16S ribosomal RNA". It matches the Rfam family "Bacterial small subunit ribosomal RNA", at positions 28 to 507 of the family's 1533-position model. The record is from RNAcentral.